Molecule: long non-coding RNA, 358 nt
Filed under: Nicotiana benthamiana
Lineage: Eukaryota; Viridiplantae; Streptophyta; Magnoliopsida; Solanales; Solanaceae
Description: long non-coding RNA (NBEN_LNC031057)
Source: RNAcentral
AUUUUCGCGUCGAGAAAAAUAAAUAAUCAAGACAGGAAAAUUGCAUAACAAAUGUAGUAUUUGAUUUCAAUAAAUGAAAGUGUUACAAUCUCUAUGGUAUUCCUCUGAUUCUUCAAGAAUGUAAAGUGUCUUGAGCUUGACUUUGAUUUGAUUCAGGGGCUUGUAAAGCUUAGUCUUGAAUCUCCUCCUUGAACUUGAAUUUGUGUUUGAUCACGAACAAGUAAUUUGAUCUUGAACGCCUGGGUAUUUGAUUUGGCUUCAUUCUUGAUCUUGAACUUGUAGCUUGAGUGCUUGAACUUGUAGCUUGAAGAGAUAUAUGCGGUGUUUGAUCCACGAGCUCUCGGCUUGCUUCUUGUUC